ACACGACUCUCGGCAACGGAUAUCUCGGCUCUCGCAUCGAUGAAGAACGUAGCAAAAUGCGAUACCUGGUGUGAAUUGCAGAAUCCCGCGAACCAUCGAGUUUUUGAACGCAAGUUGCGCCCGAGGCCUUCUGGUCGAGGGCACGCCUGCCUGGGCGUCA
RNAcentral lists this ribosomal RNA (160 nucleotides) under Panicum sumatrense. Its description in RNAcentral is "5.8S ribosomal RNA". It matches the Rfam family "5.8S ribosomal RNA". From Rfam's summary of the family: 5.8S ribosomal RNA (5.8S rRNA) is a component of the large subunit of the eukaryotic ribosome. It is transcribed by RNA polymerase I as part of the 45S precursor that also contains 18S and 28S rRNA. Lineage: Eukaryota; Viridiplantae; Streptophyta; Magnoliopsida; Poales; Poaceae. The record is from RNAcentral.